GGAAGUCUUCCACAAUGGACGAAAGUCUGAUGGAGCAACGCCGCGUGAGUGAAGAAGGGUUUCGGCUCGUAAAACUCUGUUGUUAAGAAGAACAUAUCUGAGAGUAACUGUUCAGGUAUUGACGGUAUUUAACCAGAAAGCCACGGCUAACUACGUGCCAG
Molecule: ribosomal RNA, 161 nt
Filed under: uncultured bacterium
Lineage: Bacteria
Description: partial 16S rRNA
Rfam family: Bacterial small subunit ribosomal RNA
Source: RNAcentral